AUUCAAUGGAGAAAGAGUAUAUUAAUGGUAUUGAACUCUGAUGUGUCAUUUUAUUUGUAUAUCUCAGAGUCCUCUAAGAAGAAAAUCAUUAUCUCUGUUUCAUAGGUUGUGAGAUGAAGGCAUAGAGAGUUACCUUACAGUGGUAUAUUGAAGAAUAUGAAGUCAGGAGCAGAACUGGGAGGAAACUCUAGAUCUCUUAAACUCCAGCUCAGCACAAGAGAAAAGAAAAGAGUGUCUGCAGACUCGACAGACUGGCCACAGGAUGGGGUUUAUUGCCAUAGUCCUUUCCUGGAAGAUGAUUUAACCACCAGCAACCUUUGUACGUGUAAGGACAAUUCAAGAUAAGUCUUUGGUGUUCAGGACUGAUGAGCUCCUGGCUGCCUCAUGAGAUAACAUGAUGCCCUCACAGACUCCUGCUGUGGUAUGCCUGCCUGGUUUCAACAGCAGCUCUGGAUUGUGCACCGUGCAGGCUGUGAUACCAAGUAAGCUGGCUUCAUCUGGGAGGCAAAACAUCUCUCCAUUGGAUUAAUAGCUUUAUAUGGCUCACAGGAUGAAACUGGAAGGCAGUCUGCGGGUGUUAUAACAUCAUCUUCUUCUUUUCUUCUUCUUAGCAGAGCCAUAGCUUCUGUGCCUCUCCAGCAGAAGUGACCUUCAAGGUCUGUUGUCCCAAGGCAUAAGUGGAUGCAUUUCUUAUGGAGAUGAAGCAACAAGGCUGUUUGCUUCUGUUGGUUUAAAAUAGACUUUCAUGGUUACUUUAAUGUAUCCUUUUUCUUUAUACUUUGAAGGCUUUGAAAUUUGCCCUGACACAUAUCAGUAAAACAGAAGCUACAGUGAAAGAGUCAGCUAUAAGAUAUCCAAGCGAAAGGAUACUUUAAAAUCCAUCAGUUUCUGUAGCAUCUUUCAUAUGCACAAAGUUACAAUGCCCGGCAGGCUAUCUGAGUGUGUCCAAUUGCCUCUUUUAACAAACACAUCUUUAGGCUUGUGGAAGUAAAGUAAGGUCAUUGCUUGAAUGAGCAAGCUGACACUUGGAAAGAGAUGCAGUGUGAUAGGUCUACUGCUCUCCAAACAGUGUGUACAGAAAAAAUAAUAGUAAAGCUAAAAGAUAACAUAUAAGCAAUAAAAAAUAGCAAGUUUCUCUUCCUAGGCA
RNAcentral lists this long non-coding RNA (1147 nucleotides) under Apteryx rowi (Okarito brown kiwi). RNAcentral's name for it is "lncRNA (ENSARWG00000002157.1)". The record is from RNAcentral. Lineage: Eukaryota; Metazoa; Chordata; Aves; Apterygiformes; Apterygidae.